This 496-nucleotide ribosomal RNA is filed under the name uncultured bacterium. RNAcentral's name for it is "partial 16S ribosomal RNA". It matches the Rfam family "Bacterial small subunit ribosomal RNA", at positions 29 to 507 of the family's 1533-position model. The record is from RNAcentral.
AUGAACGCUGGCGGCGUGCCUCAUACCUGCCAGUCGAGCGAACAGACGAGGAGCUUGCUCCUCUGAUGUUAGCGGCGGACGGGUGAGUAACACGUGGAUAACCUACCUAUAAGACUGGGAUAACUUCGGGAAACCGGAGCUAAUACCGGAUAACAUGUUGAACCGCAUGGUUCAACAGUGAAAGACGGUCUUGCUGUCACUUAUAGAUGGAUCCGCGCCGCAUUAGCUAGUUGGUAAGGUAACGGCUUACCAAGGCAACGAUGCGUAGCCGACCUGAGAGGGUGAUCGGCCACACUGGAACUGAGACACGGUCCAGACUCCUACGGGAGGCAGCAGUAGGGAAUCUUCCGCAAUGGGCGAAAGCCUGACGGAGCAACGCCGCGUGAGUGAAGAAGGUCUUCGGAUCGUAAAACUCUGUUAUUAGGGAAGAACAAAUGUGUAAGUAACUAUGCACGUCUUGACGGUACCUAAUCAGAAAGCCACGGCUAACUACGUG